Non-coding RNA from Hipposideros armiger (great roundleaf bat), 567 nucleotides. Lineage: Eukaryota; Metazoa; Chordata; Mammalia; Chiroptera; Hipposideridae. The record is from the annotation of a RefSeq genome assembly.
UCCACCAUGGCCUGGUCCCCUCUCCUCCUCACCCUCAUCGCUCACUGCACAGGAUCGUGGGCUCAGUCUGUGCUGACUCAGCCAUCCUCAGUGUCUAGAACCCCAGGACAGAGUGUCACCAUCUCCUGUGCUGGAAGCAGCUCCAACAUCGGGGGUAAUAGUGUGGAGUGGUUCCAACAGCUUCCAGGAAAGGCCCCAAAACUCCUCAUCUAUGGUAACAGCAAUAGACCCUCAGGGGUCUCCAACCGAUUCUCUGGCUCCAAGUCUGGCAACUCGGCCUCCCUGACCAUCAGUGGGCUGCAGGCUGAGGACGAGGCUGAUUAUUACUGCUUAUCAUGGGACAGCAGUCUGAAUGGUCGCACAGUGUUCCAGGCCUGUGGGGAAGUGAGACAAAAACCUACUGUCCCAUCUACAUGGGGCUUCCCUCAGCAGCCCCCACUCCUCUGACAAGACAGCUGCUUACUUUGAUUGUUUGGCCUAAAACUGGGGCCUGAGACCCACUAAGGGAACAUUGUGUGGAAAAUCUGUCCACAUCCUUUAACUUCUACCCCCCAAGCCUGUCCUUGG